UGAAAGAUUUCACCAACAUAUUCACAACAGCAUGCAAUUUAAAACUUAUUUUGAAGUUGGGAGAAGUGGCAAAACGUGAAAAGCAAGAAGCAAAUAUUACCAGAGACACCUAUGAAAAAGAAAUCUUUCUGAAGAACAUUUUUAAAGUGCCAUAAUCUGUUCGCUCAUGGCCCAUAGUGUUGGUGAGGCCAACACUAUAGCUGCAAGCACUUACUUCAUUUAAGAAGUUUAUCGAGAGCUUUAUAAAUAAAUUCUGUUCUCCAUCUACUAUGCAAAUAAAAC
This 282-nucleotide long non-coding RNA is filed under the name Pan troglodytes (chimpanzee). RNAcentral's name for it is "long non-coding RNA NONPTRT015504". The record is from RNAcentral. Lineage: Eukaryota; Metazoa; Chordata; Mammalia; Primates; Hominidae.